Molecule: ribosomal RNA, 536 nt
Filed under: marine sediment bacterium BB0608_AND_4.1_6G0
Lineage: Bacteria
Description: bacterial SSU rRNA
Rfam family: Bacterial small subunit ribosomal RNA
Source: RNAcentral
GCUUGCACCCCGCUGACGAGCGGCGGACGGGUGAGUAAUGCAUAGGAAACUGCCCAGUAGUGGGGGAUAGCCCGGGGAAACCCGGAUUAAUACCGCGUACGCCCUUCGGGGGAAAGCAGGGGAUCUUCGGACCUUGCGCUAUUGGAUGUGCCUAUGUCGGAUUAGCUAGUUGGUGGGGUAAAGGCCUACCAAGGCGACGAUCCGUAGCUGGUCUGAGAGGAUGAUCAGCCACAUCGGGACUGAGACACGGCCCGAACUCCUACGGGAGGCAGCAGUGGGGAAUAUUGGACAAUGGGGGCAACCCUGAUCCAGCCAUGCCGCGUGUGUGAAGAAGGCUUUCGGGUUGUAAAGCACUUUCAGUGAGGAGGAAAAGUUGGUCGUUAAUACCGGCCAGCCUUGACGUUACUCACAGAAGAAGCACCGGCUAACUCCGUGCCAGCAGCCGCGGUAAUACGGAGGGUGCAAGCGUUAAUCGGAAUUACUGGGCGUAAAGCGCGCGUAGGUGGUUUGAUAAGCGAGAUGUGAAAGCCCCGGGC